Molecule: long non-coding RNA, 1923 nt
Organism: Rattus norvegicus (Norway rat)
Lineage: Eukaryota; Metazoa; Chordata; Mammalia; Rodentia; Muridae
Source: RefSeq, a predicted model, not a curated record
AUCUCCCACAAGGCUUCAGGAUGUUACCAUGGUUACUGGUUCCCAACUGCCAGCCAGCCUAUUUAUGUUAAUCAUUUUUGUGUUAUCGUUGUCGUCGUCGUCGUCGUCGUCGUCGUCAUCAUCAUCAUCAUCAUCAUUAUUGUGCCAGUCAUAAAUGACAGUCUUUGGUGUUGUCCGGGUUGAAUCUGAAGCUCGCUGUUUGGGCUGGCUGGCCAGUGAACCCCCAGGAUCCGCUCGUCUCUGCUCCAUGACGUUGAGGCUGCAGACAUCUGAUGCCAUGCUUGGCUUUUACAAGGGUGCUAGAGAUUUGAGCUUGGGUUCUGGUGUUCGCACAUGUACAAGCUUCUUACUGAGCCCUGUCCCAGCGUCUGUUCUACGGUGAAACAACCGAGCAUGUAACUGGAGUCAGGGUGGAAAAGUUGUGUGACUGUUUGCAGUAGAACAAAGGAGUGUGGUCAGGGUGGAAAACUGGCUGAAUUAAGCAAUCGGUACAAGAAUUUCCCACUUGUGACUUAGGGCCAUAAACUACAGUGAGGCUUGGAUGCUGCAGGAGUGUGCCAACUGCUCGAGUGGUUAGUGAGAUGUGCUGAUCCUGGGAGCAUGAAGAUUCAGCUCUCCCGGUUCGGGUCCCUGGAGUCAUUCCUGUGCCCUUGGAGGAAGAUGAAGGAUUCCCCCUCACCUUUGUUAUCACAGAUAUUUCGGCAUUGCUGCAGUCAUUGUUACUGCCGCACGUGUCCCGUCCGACCACAGCCUGCGCUCCUACCCUCUGUGCACCGCUGCUUGCCGGAGAAGACUGGACUCCAGCUGUUACCCUUGCCCCUCCUCAUUCCCCUGGCAACUGUUGCCCCUGUGACUGGUGUUGCCAUUUUUCAGUCUGUGGCUUCACAAGAAUGCCAUCUGUGUGAAACUGCUGGAGACCAGGGAACUGUGCUCUGGUUAUGUGGAUCUCCAACAUGUUCCAUUGCCUGCUGGUUGUUCCAGAGAAGGAUGGCCAAUCCUGAACUGUCCUGGGAAAGACUUUGGCAUUUUCGCUGCUAUUGUAGCAGUCAUUUACUGCUGCAGUCACUGGAUCUGCAGUGUCUGGAGUUACCCUCUCCCAAUCUAUUGUUAGGCAAGCACAGUGGGUAAACUUUCUGGAGUAGUUGUUGACAAAUGGGAAUUCUAAAUUUUAAUACAGGAAUGGCUUGACAAUGACCCUCAGUGUUAUGGCCCUCCGAGUUUCAGCCCUAGGGCACCGCACUAAUCGGCCUUGUGCUUCUUAUCAUAUGCACAAACAGCACUCCCAGUCCCGGGCAGCAACUAAGCAGGUGUUGUUCUCCUUGGUAGGAGACAAACCUUCUGCCCAAAUUGGGCUCAGCCUUCACAAGAAGCAGUUAGCUGAGGAUGGGGAACUCUUUGGGACCAGUCCUUGCCUAAGACAGGAAAUUCUGAGACUGGCAGAAUUUUCCAGAGAUGGGAAAGAGGCUUGAUAGCUCAAAGUGUCCUAAGACAGGCGCUGCUUAAAAUUAAUAUAGGGGGACUUGCUUAAUAAAAAAAUAAAAUAGGGGAACUUGUCAGAGCCUCCUGGGUCCCCUGUAGUGUUUUACCCCCCCCCCCCUGGUCAGGCCCUUCUGGGUCCCUUGCAGGGUUUGACCCCUGCUGAGCCCUGUUGAUGCACAUGGAAGCCUUUUGUUCCUAACGAGGAGCAGUCUGGCCCAGAGUGACACACCUGGGCAAAGGUCAAUUCGUUCCUGUCUUUGUCUUCCCAGUCUUUUGUUUUUGAGAUUUAGGCUGGUCUUCCUGGAUUUCUCCCCAGUAAAUUAGGGGCACCAAUGUCUUGAACCGGGGUCUCCCACGGUGCUUCCCAGAUUUUUCCACCUAGUCAACCUGGGGUAGAUAUUUGGAAAAUAAAGCUACAGAAGGAGCAUUCUUUCUUAACACGGA